CCUGGUGGCGAGUGGCGAACGGGUGAGUAAUAUAUCGGAACGUGCCCAGUCGUGGGGGAUAACGUAGCGAAAGCUACGCUAAUACCGCAUACGAUCUAUGGAUGAAANCGGGGGAUCGCAAGACCUCGCGCGAUUGGAGCGGCCGAUAUCAGAUUAGGUAGUUGGUGAGGUAAAGGCUCACCAAGCCGACGAUCUGUAGCUGGUCUGAGAGGACGACCAGCCACACUGGGACUGAGACACGGCCCAGACUCCUACGGGAGGCAGCAGUGGGGAAUUUUGGACAAUGGGCGCAAGCCUGAUCCAGCAAUGCCGCGUGCAGGAUGAAGGCCUUCGGGUUGUAAACUGCUUUUGUACGGAACGAAACGGUGAGCUCUAAUACAGUUUGCUAAUGACGGUACCGUAAGAAUAAGCACCGGCUAACUACGUG
RNAcentral lists this ribosomal RNA (427 nucleotides) under uncultured bacterium. RNAcentral describes it as "bacterial SSU rRNA". It matches the Rfam family "Bacterial small subunit ribosomal RNA", at positions 84 to 507 of the family's 1533-position model. The record is from RNAcentral.